RNAcentral lists this ribosomal RNA (484 nucleotides) under uncultured bacterium. RNAcentral's name for it is "partial 16S ribosomal RNA". It matches the Rfam family "Bacterial small subunit ribosomal RNA", at positions 30 to 507 of the family's 1533-position model. The record is from RNAcentral.
AUUGAACGCUGGCGGCAGGCCUAACACAUGCAAGUCGAGCGGAUGAAGGGAGCUUGCUCCUGGCUUCAGCGGCGGACGGGUGAGUAAUGCCUAGGAAUCUGCCUGGUAGUGGGGGAUAACGUCCGGACACGGGCGCUAAUACCGCAUACGUCCUGAGGGAGAAAGUGGGGGAUCUUCGGACCUCACGCUAUCAGAUGAGCCUAGGUCGGAUUAGCUAGUUGGUAGGGUAAAGGCCUACCAAGGCGACGAUCCGUAGCCGGUCUGAGAGGAUGAUCGGCCACACUGGGACUGAGACACGGUCCAGACUCCUACGGGAGGCAGCAGUGGGGAAUCUUCCGCAAUGGGCGAAAGCUUGACGGAGCAACGCCGCGUGAGUGAUGAAGGUCUUCGGAUCGUAAAACUCUGUUAUUAGGGAAGAACAAAUGUGUAAGUAACUAUGCACGUCUUGACGGUACCUAAUCAGAAAGCCACGGCUAACUACGUG